UGCAUCACUGGUUGCGGAUGGCUAUCCA
Molecule: small RNA, 28 nt
Filed under: Bombyx mori (domestic silkworm)
Lineage: Eukaryota; Metazoa; Arthropoda; Insecta; Lepidoptera; Bombycidae
Description: ovarian small RNA-33554
Source: RNAcentral